This 497-nucleotide ribosomal RNA is filed under the name uncultured bacterium. Its description in RNAcentral is "partial 16S ribosomal RNA". It matches the Rfam family "Bacterial small subunit ribosomal RNA", at positions 28 to 507 of the family's 1533-position model. The record is from RNAcentral.
GAUGAACGCUGGCGGCGUGCCUAAUACAUGCAAGUCGAGCGAACAGACGAGGAGCUUGCUCCUCUGACGUUAGCGGCGGACGGGUGAGUAACACGUGGAUAACCUACCUAUAAGACUGGGAUAACUUCGGGAAACCGGAGCCAAUACCGGAUAAUAUAUUGAACCGCAUGGUUCAAUAGUGAAAGACGGUUUUGCUGUCACUUUUAGAUGGAUCCGCGCCGCAUUAGCUAGUUGGUAAGGUAACGGCUUACCAAGGCAACGAUGCGUAGCCGACCUGAGAGGGUGAUCAGCCACACUGGAACUGAGACACGGUCCAGACUCCUACGGGAGGCAGCAGUAGGGAAUCUUCCGCAAUGGGCGAAAGCUUGACGGAGCAACGCCGCGUGAGUGAUGAAGGUCUUCGGAUCGUAAAACUCUGUUAUUAGGGAAGAACAAAUGUGUAAGUAACUAUGCACGUCUUGACGGUACCUAAUCAGAAAGCCACGGCUAACUACGUG